CGCGUGAGAAUCUGGCUUUAGGUUCGGGACAACAGUGGGAAACUGCUGCUAAUACCGAAUGUGCCGCAGGGUGAAAGAUUAAUUGCCUGAAGAAGAGCUCGCGUCUGAUUAGCUAGUUGGUGAGGUAAAGGCUCACCAAGGCGACGAUCAGUAACUGGUCUGAGAGGAUGACCAGUCACACUGGGACUGAGACACGGCCCAGACUCCUACGGGAGGCAGCAGUGGGGAAUUUUCCGCAAUGGGCGAAAGCCUGACGGAGCAAUACCGCGUGAGGGAGGAAGGCUCUUGGGUUGUAAACCU
This 300-nucleotide ribosomal RNA is filed under the name uncultured Chroococcidiopsis sp. RNAcentral's name for it is "bacterial SSU rRNA". It matches the Rfam family "Bacterial small subunit ribosomal RNA", at positions 114 to 432 of the family's 1533-position model. The record is from RNAcentral. Lineage: Bacteria; Bacillati; Cyanobacteriota; Cyanophyceae; Chroococcidiopsidales; Chroococcidiopsidaceae.